UCGCGGUGAAUACGUUCCCGGGUCUUGUACACACCGCCCGUCACACCAUGGGAGUCGGGAAUGCCCGAAGUCAGUGACCCAACCUAUUGGAGGGAGCUGCCGAAGGCAGGUCUGAUAACUGGGGUGAAGUCGUAACAAGGUACC
This 144-nucleotide ribosomal RNA is filed under the name uncultured bacterium. Its description in RNAcentral is "partial 16S ribosomal RNA". It matches the Rfam family "Bacterial small subunit ribosomal RNA", at positions 1357 to 1500 of the family's 1533-position model. The record is from RNAcentral.